This 822-nucleotide ribosomal RNA is filed under the name Triticum aestivum (bread wheat). RNAcentral describes it as "partial small subunit ribosomal RNA". The record is from RNAcentral. Lineage: Eukaryota; Viridiplantae; Streptophyta; Magnoliopsida; Poales; Poaceae.
AUGAGUAACAUCAAUUGUGCGACCAUGUCCUGGAAUGUCCGGGGACUAAACUUAGCGGCAAGGCGGGAAACAGUUAGAGAGGUAGGGGCUGCGCAGCGACUCGCCAUCCUCUGCAUCCAGGAAACUAAGAUAGAAACGUGGUCUCAGGCCAUGGUUAGUGACAUCGGCGGUAGUUCUUUGAAAGAUUGUGUAGUUCUGCCAGCGAUAGGCUCAAGGGGAGGCAUCACGAUCUUCUGGAACCGGGACCUUGUGUCUGUCCGCUCCCAGGCUGUUGGUCAAUUCUCGAUCACGGCCACUGUCACUAUAGUUAGCUCGGCGACUAGCUUUGUUCUAACCUCUGUCUACAGCCCCUCCGACGGCAACAACAAAGACACUUUCUUCGCUGAAUUAGCUAGCACGGCACCCCCUGUAGGCACUCCAUGGCUAGUUAACGGUGACUUCAACGUAAUUUACGAAGCAAGAGACAAGAACAACCACAAUCUCAAUAGAAGGUUGAUGAGCAGAUUUAGAUCGGCUUUAGACUCCGUGGCGCUAAAAGAGAUUAAAUGCAAAAAUAGGAGGUUCACUUGGAGUAACGAGUGGGAAUCGCCCAUGUUAGUUAGCAUCGACAAAUUCUUCGCUAACCUAGAAUGGGAGGCCCUUUUCCCCUCCUUGCCAGCGCCACCACUCCUCCUCGGCGAGCAAUAUUUCGCUUUGAAAGCUUUUGGGUUAGCUUUCCUCAUUUCAGAGAAACGGUGCUGCGGGCAUGGCAACGCCCCGCCACACAAACUUGUGCCUUCAGCAGAAUUAAAACAAGGCUCGAGCGGGUGGCCAAAGAUCUGA